RNA transcript from Oryza sativa Japonica Group (Japanese rice), 1636 nucleotides. RefSeq lists it as uncharacterized. Lineage: Eukaryota; Viridiplantae; Streptophyta; Magnoliopsida; Poales; Poaceae. The record is from RefSeq and is a predicted model, not a curated record.
AUCACACCAGAUUUCUUCCCCGUCUCCGUCACCCGAACCCUCUCAACCCAUGGCACUCUCCGCCGCUCGCCGGCUCUCCUCCGCCGCCGGCGGCGACGCCGCGCGGCCUGGGACGCUCUCUUCCCUCUUCGCGCCUCGAAGCUCUCCGAAGCCUCGCGCCCCGCGGCCGGAGCCCGGGGAUGGGCCACCGCAGGAGCGGAGGAAGCCGAGGGCGAGGCCGAGGCCGAGGUCGAGGCAGCCGUGGGGGGAGGAGGCGGCGGCGCUGCUCCGGAGGUUCUACGACGGCGGGUACCUCCCGGGGCCUGACUUGUCGGUGGCGCCGCACGUCUUGUCCCCCGACGUCGUCAAGGGCGCGGCCGAGCGGUUCGGUCAUGAUCACCAGGUCGUCGCCAAAUGGUUAUCUGGAAGUGACUUGAAGAAGGUUGCGUUGUUUGGUUGUCCAUCUGUUGAGCGAAGAACAGUUUUUGCAUCAAAAAGACUACGAGCUUUCUUUAAAAUCCAGGAAGCUAAAAUAUGCGGCUCUUGUAAGAUGAGAAAUUCAUGCCAGUUUGUUAACCAGGAAGUAUCUAGGCAUGAUAAAGUGAUCCUGUCAGAUACUAUGAGAAUUCUUACUUUAUUCGUCCUGGAUACAUGUCCUCAGCAACUCAAGGUUACUCCUGAAUUGAAAGCUAGCAUUUGCAAGCUUGUCAAGGACACCAUAAACCUAAGCCAAUAAUUACUAAGCAGAUCAUUUGUAACUGUAGAAGGUACUUGAAGUAUACCAGAGAGGUGACCAAAUUUAUUUGGAUCAAAUGGAUGAAGCUCAUAUUUUGUUUGCAAAUACUACCUGAAGCAACUCAACCUGAUUGCACCGCAGAAGCAGAUGCGCUGAAGCUAAGAUGCAGUGGUUCACCCAGGAAUCUUGCAUCAGUCAGACUCCCCAUGUGAUGUUGUUUAGCUAGCUGUAAACCAUUUAGUUUGGACAAGGGAGAGGAACAGUUUGGCUUCAGACUAACUGGACUGCUUCUCUGCAUGGCACCUCUCUUGUAGAAUAAUCCAGGAUAGCUGGUCUCCUGAGGCGAGGUCGGUAGGUCACUUCAUCUAUGUGAUAAUGUGAACCCUUCCAUAUUGCCGCCUGAUGAGAACUGAAUCUUCUACGGAAGUGAUGCUCUACUCUCUACUCUGUUUUUUUUUCCUUUUGGUUUCUUUUCCCUAAUCUCUUGGACAGUUCAGUUUUGAUGGAUUCUUCUGGCCUCGUGUUGAUGAUCAAAGUAUUCAAGUCGUCGUCUCGUGCUGAUGGCUGCUUGCUUGAUUUUAAACUUCGGCUGAAACUCGGAGCCUCUUUCACAUUUGUCCGGUCAGCGAUUGCUUUUCUUCUCUCCCCCGGUUUGCCGCUUGCAUGGUAGUGCCUGCCACUAGUAAUCUAAUAGCAUAGGUCUUCUUGUUAACUUCUCUCACAUAAUAAGUCAAGUAGUAGUACUUCAGUUAAGCAAGAUUGAUCAUGUCAGAAAGCAUGCUAUUUGAACGUUUUGAAAGGUUGAAUCACAGGAGCGUGAUGCAUGCAUCUCACUGAUGCAGCAGAGAAUCAGGUUAUGUAAUUUUUUAUUCUCCUGGAAGAAGUGUAGAAAAGUCCACAAUCCUUCAGUUUUGAUCGUAA